RNAcentral lists this ribosomal RNA (753 nucleotides) under Triticum aestivum (bread wheat). RNAcentral's name for it is "partial small subunit ribosomal RNA". Lineage: Eukaryota; Viridiplantae; Streptophyta; Magnoliopsida; Poales; Poaceae. The record is from RNAcentral.
AUGGCCCCCGUCUUCCCGGUGCCGCAGCGGCAGGCCCCAUCCUCGACGCUGCUGUUCCCGCCGCCACAGACACCAUUCACACCUUACUACUACUCGUCGUCUUCUCCGGCGACGUCGUCCCGCCUGACGCACCACGUGACGCUGAGCCUCACCAGCCUGCCCAUCCUGGUGCUCACCGUGCUCGGCAUCCUCACCACCUCCGCGCUCCUCCUCACCUACUACAAGUUCAUAAUUUCUCUCUCCCGCCGCCGUCGCAGUCGCAGCAGCGCCGCCUACGACCAUGAGCUUCCCGUGGUGCACGGGCCGGCUCCUGACGAGGGUCGUGGCGGGCUCGGGGAGCCUGCCAUCCGGGCGCUGCCGGAGUUCAGAUACAGCAAGGCCGCCAAGAACAGCGCCGACGCGAGCGAGUGCGCCGUGUGCCUCGGCGAGUUCCAGGAGGGGGAGAGUGUGAGGCUCCUGCCGGGCUGCCUCCAUGUCUUCCACGCGGAGUGCAUCGGCACUUGGCUCCAGGGCUGCGCCAACUGCCCGCUCUGCAGGGCAGCCAUCACCGCCACCAUCGGCAAACAAGCUCCAUUGAUUGAUCAGCCCCUGAGACCAGAGGAGGUUGUCAUCCAGGUGCAGGUCGACCUCGCCGGCACUGGAGAAGAAGGCACACUGACACAGCAACAAGAAGGCGGCACGGCGGCCUCGAAGAACAGCACCCGCUUCGAUGGAGAUGGCAGUGGCAGCAGCACCGAAGCACAUUGUAGGUAG